UGGUGGUGAGCAUGGCUCACCAAGGCUACGAUGGGUAGGGGUUCUUAGUGGAAGAUCCCCCACACUGGCACUGAGAUACGGGCCAGACUCCUACGGGAGGCAGCAGUAGGGAAUAUUGGUCAAUGGGCGAAAGCCUGAACCAGCCAUGCCGCGUGCAGGAUGACAGCUCUCUGAGUUGUAAACUGCUUUUGUACAGGAGCAAAACAAUCCCUGCGGGGGUUCUUGAGAGUACUGUAAGAAUAAGCACCGGCUAAUUCCGUGCCAGCAGCCGCGGUAAUACGGAAGGUGCAAGCGUUAUCCGGUUUUAUUGGGUUUAAAGGGUGCGUAGGCGGCUUAUUAAGUCAGUUGUGAAAUCCUAGUGCUUAACGCUAGAACUGCAAUUGAUACUAUUAGGCUUGAGUUAAGAAGAGGUAAA
This 415-nucleotide ribosomal RNA is filed under the name Cardinium endosymbiont of Bemisia tabaci. RNAcentral describes it as "bacterial SSU rRNA". It matches the Rfam family "Bacterial small subunit ribosomal RNA", at positions 247 to 661 of the family's 1533-position model. Lineage: Bacteria; Pseudomonadati; Bacteroidota; Cytophagia; Cytophagales; Amoebophilaceae. The record is from RNAcentral.